This is a long non-coding RNA of Ictalurus punctatus (channel catfish), 420 nucleotides long. The record is from Ensembl. NCBI's taxonomy places the organism in Eukaryota, Metazoa, Chordata, Actinopteri, Siluriformes, Ictaluridae.
AUGGUUACUGUUGAAGGUAGGCUGAGUAUUCGAGUAUCCUGUUAUAUCCAGAGUCCCGCAGCUGUUUAAUGGAGCUGCAGGUCUCCAUAGGAUUAAGGAGAGUGGCUGUCCUGUUUGUGGUGGUAGUGUUUCCUCACCGAAUGCUGUGAUUUGCAGUGUGCAAGCGGAUUUUCUGCUGGUACAUGUGUGAGUGGGGUGUGAAGAUGGAGAACAAUUUGCUUUCUGCCUAGCCUGCCCUUUAGAUGUAAUGGCCUAAGGGAGUGUGAGGUAAAGACGAAUUUGCUUGGCAACCCUGAUCCAUGUAAAGGAACCUACAAGUACUACAACACCACUUAUGACUGCAUCCGUGGCCGUUCACUUUCAGGUUCAACUUCAACUUUUGGACAGGUGACCUCACAUUAUCUUCAAGCACUCUUUGAU